CUCUACUUAGAGUACAUGAGGGCCAUUUGUGAUAGAGAUCCAUAGUGAGGUAGUGUUGGAGCCUGUCCAAGGAGGUUCUGAGAGGGAUAAACAGACUCAGUAGAAACAAGCUGAAAGCACUACUAGACGUCCAUGGGCUGACCCAGGAAUAAACAACUCAUGAGACUUGACCUGCCAUUAUCAUUAACAAAAGAAAGGUUCUACAAGCCAGGGACAUCCAAUACUAUGGAGAGCAAUGGUUGGCUCUCUGGAAAUCCCAUGAAGAUGCUCAGAGAAACUUGGUAGAAUGUGGAUUCGAUGGGAAGAAUGUUUGUAACAUAUUUCAGAAGUAUUAAAUUUGACAUAACUUUAGACCCUAAGUGGAGGUAUCAAGAGGAUACUUGGCUUGACUCAACCCGAAGAUACUGAUUAAUGAACAUGUCAUAAUGCACUAAAGUCUUGGAUCUGCAAAAUCACUGUGAUUACCAUAAGAGAUGCAAGAUUCUGCAAGUCUUUGACAGAAGACGAAAAGAAUACCCAACACUGUUUGUUUAUAGAAGUUACAUAACAACAUUAAGAAAAUGGCAUGGGAGAAAUGAAAAAGGAAGAAAGAAAGAAAAAGGAUGAAAUAAAGAAAGACUCAAGUAGUGCAUUGAACUCAAAAGCCCCUGUGCUAGCUUUCUGUUUCCUAGGCUCGGAUAUUUCCUACUCAUGUUGUCAGCCUUCAGUUUCUGGAGGGUGGGAAUUCCAAGUUGAAGUUGCCAGCAGAUCCAGUGUCUGAUGAAGUCUUGCUGUGUGUGCUUCCAGGAUGGAAUCUUGCUGUGUCCUUAAAUGGUGAAAGGACAAGUCAGCUCCUUUCAUCCUUUUUCAGAAGGGCACUAAUCCCGUUAACGAGAAUCCUGUCCCUGUAACUUAAUGACCUCCUAAAAACCUCACUUCUUAAUAAUGUCAUGUUGGUGAUUAAUUUUCAAAAUAAACAUUUCAGGGGACACCUUCAAACUAUAGCACUUGCCCUUUGACUUUUCCCAUCUAUAAAUUCC
Molecule: non-coding RNA, 1019 nt
Organism: Macaca mulatta (Rhesus monkey)
Lineage: Eukaryota; Metazoa; Chordata; Mammalia; Primates; Cercopithecidae
Source: RefSeq, a predicted model, not a curated record